This 75-nucleotide antisense RNA is filed under the name Streptomyces nodosus. RNAcentral's name for it is "ASpks TB sRNA". It matches the Rfam family "ASpks TB sRNA". Lineage: Bacteria; Bacillati; Actinomycetota; Actinomycetes; Kitasatosporales; Streptomycetaceae. The record is from Rfam by way of RNAcentral.
CUUCAGGGAGCCCAGCCACAGGGGCUGUUCGGAGCCGUGCUCCUGGCCGUAGGUGGCGAGCAGGGCCUGCGCCUC